GAUCAUGGCUCAGAUUGAACGCUGGCGGCAGGCCUAACACAUGCAAGUCGAGCGGUAGCACAGAGAGCUUGCUCUCGGGUGACGAGCGGCGGACGGGUGAGUAAUGUCUGGGAAACUGCCUGAUGGAGGGGGAUAACUACUGGAAACGGUAGCUAAUACCGCAUAAUGUCGCAAGACCAAAGUGGGGGACCUUCGGGCCUCAUGCCAUCAGAUGUGCCCAGAUGGGAUUAGCUAGUAGGUGGGGUAACGGCUCACCUAGGCGACGAUCCCUAGCUGGUCUGAGAGGAUGACCAGCCACACUGGAACUGAGACACGGUCCAGACUCCUACGGGAGGCAGCAGUGGGGAAUAUUGCACAAUGGGCGCAAGCCUGAUGCAGCCAUGCCGCGUGUGUGAAGAAGGCCUUCGGGUUGUAAAGCACUUUCAGCGGGGAGGAAGGCGAUAAGGUUAAUAACCUUGUCGAUUGACGUUACCCGCAGAAGAAGCACCGGCUAACUCCGUGCCAGCAGCCGCGGUAAUACGGAGGGUGCAAGCGUUAAUCGGAAUUACUGGGCGUAAAGCGCACGCAGGCGGUCUGUCAAGUCGGAUGUGAAAUCCCCGGGCUCAACCUGGGAACUGCAUUCGAAACUGGCAGGCUAGAGUCUUGUAGAGGGGGGUAGAAUUCCAGGUGUAGCGGUGAAAUGCGUAGAGAUCUGGAGGAAUACCGGUGGCGAAGGCGGCCCCCUGGACAAAGACUGACGCUCAGGUGCGAAAGCGUGGGGAGCAAACAGGAUUAGAUACCCUGGUAGUCCACGCCGUAAACGAUGUCGAUUUGGAGGUUGUGCCCUUGAGGCGUGGCUUCCGGAGCUAACGCGUUAAAUCGACCGCCUGGGGAGUACGGCCGCAAGGUUAAAACUCAAAUGAAUUGACGGGGGCCCGCACAAGCGGUGGAGCAUGUGGUUUAAUUCGAUGCAACGCGAAGAACCUUACCUGGUCUUGACAUCCACAGAACUUAGCAGAGAUGCUUUGGUGCCUUCGGGAACUGUGAGACAGGUGCUGCAUGGCUGUCGUCAGCUCGUGUUGUGAAAUGUUGGGUUAAGUCCCGCAACGAGCGCAACCCUUAUCCUUUGUUGCCAGCGGUUAGGCCGGGAACUCAAAGGAGACUGCCAGUGAUAAACUGGAGGAAGGUGGGGAUGACGUCAAGUCAUCAUGGCCCUUACGACCAGGGCUACACACGUGCUACAAUGGCAUAUACAAAGAGAAGCGACCUCGCGAGAGCAAGCGGACCUCAUAAAGUAUGUCGUAGUCCGGAUUGGAGUCUGCAACUCGACUCCAUGAAGUCGGAAUCGCUAGUAAUCGUAGAUCAGAAUGCUACGGUGAAUACGUUCCCGGGCCUUGUACACACCGCCCGUCACACCAUGGGAGUGGGUUGCAAAAGAAGUAGGUAGCUUAACCUUCGGGAGGGCGCUUACCACUUUGUGAUUCAUGACUGGGGUGAAGUCGUAACAAGGUAACCGUAGGGGAACCUGCGGCUGGAUCACCUCCUUCUA
This 1528-nucleotide ribosomal RNA is filed under the name Klebsiella pneumoniae. RNAcentral describes it as "bacterial SSU rRNA". It matches the Rfam family "Bacterial small subunit ribosomal RNA". Lineage: Bacteria; Pseudomonadati; Pseudomonadota; Gammaproteobacteria; Enterobacterales; Enterobacteriaceae. The record is from RNAcentral.